RNAcentral lists this ribosomal RNA (385 nucleotides) under uncultured bacterium. Its description in RNAcentral is "bacterial SSU rRNA". It matches the Rfam family "Bacterial small subunit ribosomal RNA", at positions 28 to 415 of the family's 1533-position model. The record is from RNAcentral.
GAUGAACGCUAGCGGCAGGCUUAACACAUGCAAGUCGAGGGGUAGGGUUCUUCGGAACCUGAGACCGGCGCACGGGUGCGUAACGCGUAUGCAAUCUACCUUUUUACAGAGGGAUAGCCCAGAGAAAUUUGGAUUAAUACCUCAUAGUAUAUAGACCUGGCAUCAGGAUUAUAUUAAAGUCACAACGGUAAAAGAUGAGCAUGCGUCCCAUUAGCUAGUUGGUAAGGUAACGGCUUACCAAGGCUACGAUGGGUAGGGGUCCUGAGAGGGAGAUCCCCCACACUGGUACUGAGACACGGACCAGACUCCUACGGGAGGCAGCAGUGAGGAAUAUUGGACAAUGGGCGCAAGCCUGAUCCAGCCAUGCCGCGUGCAGGAUGACGGU